This 491-nucleotide ribosomal RNA is filed under the name uncultured bacterium. Its description in RNAcentral is "partial 16S ribosomal RNA". It matches the Rfam family "Bacterial small subunit ribosomal RNA", at positions 29 to 506 of the family's 1533-position model. The record is from RNAcentral.
AGUGAACGCUGGCGGUAGGCCUAACACAUGCAAGUCGAACGGCAGCAUAGUAAGAGCUUGCUCUUACGGGUGGCGAGUGGCGGACGGGUGAGGAAUACAUCGGAAUCUACUUUUUCGUGGGGGAUAACGUAGGGAAACUUACGCUAAUACCGCAUACGACCUACGGGUGAAAGCGGGGGAUCUUCGGACCUUGCGCGAUUGAAUGAGCCGAUGUCGGAUUAGCUAGUUGGCGGGGUAAAGGCCCACCAAGGCGACGAUCCGUAGCUGGUCUGAGAGGAUGAUCAGCCACACUGGAACUGAGACACGGUCCAGACUCCUAUGGGAGGCAGCAGUGGGGAAUAUUGGACAAUGGGCGCAAGCCUGAUCCAGCCAUACCGCGUGGGUGAAGAAGGCCUUCGGGUUGUAAAGCCCUUUUGUUGGGAAAGAAAAGCAGCAGGUUAAUACCCCGCUGUUCUGACGGUACCCAAAGAAUAAGCACCGGCUAACUUCGU